GAUUGCGAUGCCGCCGCAUUCCGAGAGCUUUAUGGUGUGAAACAGCAAAGGAGAAGGAAACAAUGACGGCUUUCAUAAGACGUCAUUUUCUGCUGCUUUUUAUCUGUGGAAUGUGUGGAGUGGUCCUCCUCCGUCCACAACGUGACGCGUGCACCUUGUGCACCGCCAUGGAGACGCGACGUGACGAGUACAGGAAGUGAAAGUGAAAGAAGCGUUUUGACAAGUCGUAUGGCUACUUGACGCUACCUGGCUACUCUGCAGGACUGCUUGAAUGGCACAUGAUAUCGCACACAAGACACACACCAGUGUUUCCUACAGACUUUGUGUCUAUGGAACAUCUGUGGAGGACUGAAGACACAAACACUCCAGCACUUUCCACAGUUGGAAGGAGAAGAGAGCGAGUGUUGCCGCAGGGUGCUGAGAUGAAGAGACCAACAGGAGCUUCUGACUCCGAGGUUGAGAAGGCAGAACUCGCUGGUGUCCAAUGUCCUGAUUCCAUUGGUCCAAAAGACUCCAAUCAAACUUCAAAGGGAGUCAAGUGUUGCCAAGGUGCACGAUGAGGGUCUUCA
Molecule: non-coding RNA, 569 nt
Organism: Nerophis lumbriciformis (worm pipefish)
Lineage: Eukaryota; Metazoa; Chordata; Actinopteri; Syngnathiformes; Syngnathidae
Source: RefSeq, a predicted model, not a curated record